This 18-nucleotide non-coding RNA is filed under the name Mus musculus (house mouse). Lineage: Eukaryota; Metazoa; Chordata; Mammalia; Rodentia; Muridae. The record is from RNAcentral.
UGCUUUUGGCCUGGACAC